CAAGUCGAACGAACUCUGGUAUUGAUUGGUGCUUGCAUCAUGAUUUACAUUUGAGUGAGUGGCGAACUGGUGAGUAACACGUGGGAAACCUGCCCAGAAGCGGGGGAUAACACCUGGAAACAGAUGCUAAUACCGCAUAACAACUUGGACCGCAUGGUCCGAGUUUGAAAGAUGGCUUCGGCUAUCACUUUUGGAUGGUCCCGCGGCGUAUUAGCUAGAUGGUGGGGUAACGGCUCACCAUGGCAAUGAUACGUAGCCGACCUGAGAGGGUAAUCGGCCACAUUGGGACUGAGACACGGCCCAAACUCCUACGGGAGGCAGCAGUAGGGAAUCUUCCACAAUGGACGAAAGUCUGAUGGAGCAACGCCGCGUGAGUGAAGAAGGGUUUCGGCUCGUAAAACUCUGUUGUUAAAGAAGAACAUAUCUGAGAGUAACUGUUCAGGUAUUGACGGUAUUUAACCAGAAAGCCACGGCUAACUACGUGCCAGCAGCCGCGGUAAUACGUAGGUGGCAAGCGUUGUCCGGAUUUAUUGGGCGUAAAGCGAGCGCAGGCGGUUUUUUAAGUCUGAUGUGAAAGCCUUCGGCUCAACCGAAGAAGUGCAUCGGAAACUGGGAAACUUGAGUGCAGAAGAGGACAGUGGAACUCCAUGUGUAGCGGUGAAAUGCGUAGAUAUAUGGAAGAACACCAGUGGCGAAGGCGGCUGUCUGGUCUGUAACUGACGCUGAGGCUCGAAAGUAUGGGUAGCAAACAGGAUUAGAUACCCUGGUAGUCCAUACCGUAAACGAUGAAUGCUAAGUGUUGGAGGGUUUCCGCCCUUCAGUGCUGCAGCUAACGCAUUAAGCAUUCCGCCUGGGGAGUACGGCCGCAAGGCUGAAACUCAAAGGAAUUGACGGGGGCCCGCACAAGCGGUGGAGCAUGUGGUUUAAUUCGAAGCUACGCGAAGAACCUUACCAGGUCUUGACAUACUAUGCAAAUCUAAGAGAUUAGACGUUCCCUUCGGGGACAUGGAUACAGGUGGUGCAUGGUUGUCGUCAGCUCGUGUCGUGAGAUGUUGGGUUAAGUCCCGCAACGAGCGCAACCCUUAUUAUCAGUUGCCAGCAUUAAGUUGGGCACUCUGGUGAGACUGCCGGUGACAAACCGGAGGAAGGUGGGGAUGACGUCAAAUCAUCAUGCCCCUUAUGACCUGGGCUACACACGUGCUACAAUGGAUGGUACAACGAGUUGCGAACUCGCGAGAGUAAGCUAAUCUCUUAAAGCCAUUCUCAGUUCGGAUUGUAGGCUGCAACUCGCCUACAUGAAGUCGGAAUCGCUAGUAAUCGCGGAUCAGCAUGCCGCGGUGAAUACGUUCCCGGGCCUUGUACACACCGCCCGUCACACCAUGAGAGUUUGUAACACCCAAAGUCGGUGGGGUAACCUUUUAGGAACCAGCCGCCUAAGG
RNAcentral lists this ribosomal RNA (1439 nucleotides) under Lactiplantibacillus plantarum. RNAcentral's name for it is "bacterial SSU rRNA". It matches the Rfam family "Bacterial small subunit ribosomal RNA". The record is from RNAcentral. Lineage: Bacteria; Bacillati; Bacillota; Bacilli; Lactobacillales; Lactobacillaceae.